CAAGAUGCCUUUAACUGCGGGGAGAAACCACUGUUUGGCAGUAACACUGAUGUCCACACGGUGGCGUCCCUGCUGAAGCUGUACCUCAGAGAGCUGCCAGAGCCUGUGGUGCCUUUCAACAAAUACACAGAGUUCCUCUCCACUGCUCAGCUCCUGGCCAAGGACCAGGAGGAGGGGAUCCUUGAGCUGGGCAGGCAGUUGAAGAGUCUUCCUCAGGUCAACUACAACCUCCUCAGAUAUGUCUGCAGGUAAAAAUAUGCUCUACCAGAUG
Long non-coding RNA from Oncorhynchus masou masou (cherry salmon), 271 nucleotides. RefSeq lists it as uncharacterized. Lineage: Eukaryota; Metazoa; Chordata; Actinopteri; Salmoniformes; Salmonidae. The record is from RefSeq and is a predicted model, not a curated record. The transcript has 3 exons.